AUAGCUUUAUUUUCUUCUUUUUUUGCUAUAGAGCUAGAGCUCGCAGGUUUAAAAAGGAGAACUUCCUUCCCCAGGAAGAGCUUAGCAAGAGAGCAAAUAACUGCCUUUCACUUGAUCUCACUCCAGCAAUGGAAAGGGGAAGUACUGGGACAAUGCCAAUACAAGUAACAAGUCAAUCCACUCCUCACUAACUUCUACAGACUCCACUCAGGGAGGAAAUAACUCGUCAUAUCAUAUGACAAGACGAGGGGGUGCCUUUGCCCGAGAACCUGAAACGGAUUCGUGAACAACUGCAGCUCAUACUCCUAACUGGGUUUCAAUUAAAAAGGCUAAAGGAAAAGCCGCUUACUUAGACGAUAGGGCUAUCUUCUCCGGCUAACCGAUAGGCAUGGUGAUAAACCUCAAAACAAAAGAAGAGCACAGCGUGGAAAAAAUAAGCCUGGUUUCGUCAUACAAUUGCGUCCCUUUCCAGAGUAGAUCGUAAAUCCCUCACGGGCUAACCACAGGGCCCCACCCCUUUCGCGUUCCUACCCAACUUCUAUUCAAAAAAAGCUUCAACUCUUUCUCUAUGCAAUGUGUGACAUAUCUCGGUCUGGAGUCGAACCAGUGCUAUGAAUGCUCCACGCCAUUCAUUCACAGAGCUACGAGAUCGAUGCGUUAAGCAUAGUUUCUCUGUCUCCAAAUCCGUAUCAUCUUUGGUAUCCAAUCAAACCACUGCUACUCUCACUAGGAUUUCUAUUCUAUUAAUUAAUUCGUCGAGCUGCGAUAUUUAUCAUUCUAGUAUUUCGGCGAAACCAGAUGAUUUGAGACGAAAUGACUCUUCCUACCUCCCAAGAUGCCCCUAAUAGAUGUUUCAAUUCCAGUUCCUGGGAAAGAGGGUAGAUAGCGCCAGCCAGUAAGGCAAUUGAGUGAAAGACGUUCUUCGAAUCGGCUUGCAUGUGUCAUUUUGUUUGAUUCUGCUCUUCCGGAAUGGAAGAAAGAUAUAGAGGGCGCUCCACUCCCAAAUUUUCAUGUGUAAAUCAUGCCUCCUGCCUUCCCCCUUCGCUGAUUUAGAGAGGCAGGUGAAGCCCUUUCAUGCUUAGAUGAAUGGGUUCUGUCAAUGUUGUUGGCUUUCGUGAGCGAAGAGUGGCCAAGCGGUGUAUUUCAGAAAGACUAAGACGAGACCAAGUACGGAUACCGGGCAAAUGCCCGAUGAGGUUCUUUCUCUUUCUACUGGUGGCAUCAGCGAGGAUCUAGACAUUAUUUGAUUGGAAAUUGUUGUGUGAAGGCCUCUUUGUCGCUGUCUGCGGGGCCCCCCUCUAAAAGAAGUUGAUCAAGCGCUUUCUCUUUACAAAGAUGCUCAACGAAUCGUUUUUCACUAUUUAAGCUAUCAAUACGGUAUGCUGGCGAGCUUUAGGAAUGGGAAUAGUGUGGUUGUGCUUACGAGAAUGUAAAGAAAGCUACAGUCAUCCUUUAGUCAGGAGGCACUCAACGUUGGCUUAAGACCAGCGUAAGUUUUGCAAUUGGAAUACAUAGGAGAUGAGGGCUUUCGGAUUCAACUCAGAGCCAGGAAGAGUCGCUAAGAAAAUAGCCAAGAUCAAAAGAGUCCUCCUUCUGUUUUGAGGUCGGAGAAAAGAACGAGUGAAUCUAGUUUCGAGAGCAUGCCUUACUCUAAUAGGGGGCGUAGAGUUUCUAAGUGAAGGCAAGCGCAACUAUCUAUUUCAUAUCCUCCCUGUCAGCAAGGCAGGUCCGCUAUAAAGCCUACCGGCCAGAAAGUCCUCAAGAACGAGAAAGCCGACCAAAAGACUAUUCCAUAACCAACUCUUGUUGCCGAAUCGAGGGGGCUUGGCUUGUACCAGGCUCUAAAUUUUAUUCGAGCGAGCGGUCUUUCUAUCUUUUUGGGUUGCAUGCCCAAGGCAAUGCUUUUUUUAGAUUGAGAUGGAUUGAUCUUCGCUAUCGUGCCUCUUCCUUGUACCAGUUGAUGCUGCGGCAGUGCCUAAUAUGACUUUGCUCCUGCCCCAGACAGCUUUGAGGUUCCCAUCGAUCGAUUACAGAGGUUUCAACCACUGAACUUGCUUAUGCUCCCCUUUGAUCGAGUGCUAUUUCUAUAAAAAAGAUUGAGUAGGAAAAUCUUGAAUUGGCUUCAAUCGAGAUUGCCUCGGCUUCUUAGGCACAUGAGGAACCGGCCUAACAUCUUUUCAAUCGAAAUCCCAAUCAAAGACAAGUUCUACCAAGGCCAGAAUCUGAAAGAGAAGAUUCACUUUCCGGAAUUCCAAGUGACAUGAUUCCUUCAGAAGCUAAAGUUGAAUGAUCGAAGUCUCCUUCAGGUUCAGUCGAAGAGAUCGAAGCGAAGUCAUCAAUUCAACCAUUCGCAUGGUCUCCCCUAAGACUGACCUCUUUUCCAAAUGAACCGAACCUCGAUACCACAUUCAUCAAAGAGAGACGGCCAUCUCUCUAGGUUGCACAACCCCUUUAGAUCGUUCUAUUCGUGCUUGAAAAACGACCCCUAUUGAGUAAGUAAGGCUCCCCCUCUCCUUUACUAAUAGGGGGGUCGGUAAGCUAAGUCUCCAGCCCCUUUACUAGUAAGGGAAAAACUCUAUCGAGUAAGCCCAGCUACAAGUACCGAAUCAAGCUUUUCUUCAAUAGGAUUAGCAUAGGAAUCAUUAAUAGUUGAAUUCUCUCCCGGAACUACCCAAUCUGUUUUAAACUCACAUUUACCACGUCGCAUUGACAAGUUCAAAAGUAGCCCAACCUAUACAAGGGCGUAACGAGCAGUCUACUCAUGUACGAAAGAGGGAUAUUCCGACUCAAUGCAAGAAGGGGAAGGCGACGGAAGGAACUUCUUGUAUACAAUAAAGUUGUGGCACUUGAGGAAUAGAAUCCGCUGCUUGAGUGAAUGAAGUAGGAGCCGUUAAUGAAUUUCUUGAAGCAAGGGAUGACUCCUCAAUUCUCAAUUCUGGUAAGGCAUUACUGACAUCUUGGAAUGGACCAGUUGCUGAUCCACCCACUUCUUCACGGGUGGACCUUUUACACCUCGCCCACGACCCAAAGAUUCUAUUGUGCUUCCUCCGGAUAGG
RNAcentral lists this long non-coding RNA (3056 nucleotides) under Panax ginseng (ginseng). RNAcentral's name for it is "long non-coding RNA (PGIN_LNC005313)". Lineage: Eukaryota; Viridiplantae; Streptophyta; Magnoliopsida; Apiales; Araliaceae. The record is from RNAcentral.